This is a small nuclear RNA of Prosopis cineraria, 117 nucleotides long. RefSeq annotates it as U5 spliceosomal RNA. The record is from RefSeq and is a predicted model, not a curated record. Lineage: Eukaryota; Viridiplantae; Streptophyta; Magnoliopsida; Fabales; Fabaceae. The transcript has a single exon.
AGCCGUGGGAUGAGCACAAAGCGAACUAUUUUUUCGCUUUUUACUAAAAGAUACCGUGUGCUCGCCACGUAAAGCGUCAUUGGCCUAUUUUCGGAGGUGCUUUUUUCACUAAGAACU